AGAAUCAACGCUGGCGGCGUGCCUAACACAUGCAAGUCGAACGAGAAAGUGGAGCAAUCCAUGAGUAAAGUGGCGCACGGGUGAGUAACACGUGACUAACCUACCUUUUAGUGGGGGAUAACCUAGGGAAACCUGGGCUAAUACCGCAUAAUACCCACGGGUCAAAGCAGCAAUGCGCUUGGAGAGGAGUUCGCGGCAGAUUAGUUAGUUGGCGGGGUAAUGGCCCACCAAGACGAUGAUCUGUA
Molecule: ribosomal RNA, 245 nt
Filed under: uncultured bacterium
Lineage: Bacteria
Description: partial small subunit ribosomal RNA
Rfam family: Bacterial small subunit ribosomal RNA
Source: RNAcentral